GAUGAACGCUGGCGGCGUGCCUAAUACAUGCAAGUCGAGCGAACGGACGAGAAGCUUGCUUCUCUGAUGUUAGCGGCGGACGGGUGAGUAACACGUGGAUAACCUACCUAUAAGACUGGGAUAACUUCGGGAAACCGGAGCUAAUACCGGAUAAUAUUUUGAACCGCAUGGUUCAAAAGUGAAAGACGGUCUUGCUGUCACUUAUAGAUGGAUCCGCGCUGCAUUAGCUAGUUGGUAAGGUAACGGCUUACCAAGGCAACGAUGCAUAGCCGACCUGAGAGGGUGAUCGGCCACACUGGAACUGAGACACGGUCCAGACUCCUACGGGAGGCAGCAGUAGGGAAUCUUCCGCAAUGGGCGAAAGCCUGACGCAGCAACGCCGCGUGAGUGAUGAAGGUCUUCGGAUCGUAAAACUCUUUUAUUAGGGAAGAACAUAUGUGUAAGUAACUGUGCACAUCUUGACGGUACCGAAUCAGAAAGCCACGGCUAACUACGUG
RNAcentral lists this ribosomal RNA (497 nucleotides) under uncultured bacterium. RNAcentral's name for it is "partial 16S ribosomal RNA". It matches the Rfam family "Bacterial small subunit ribosomal RNA", at positions 28 to 507 of the family's 1533-position model. The record is from RNAcentral.